This 468-nucleotide ribosomal RNA is filed under the name uncultured bacterium. Its description in RNAcentral is "partial 16S ribosomal RNA". It matches the Rfam family "Bacterial small subunit ribosomal RNA", at positions 28 to 507 of the family's 1533-position model. The record is from RNAcentral.
GACGAACGCUGGCGGCGUGCUUAACACAUGCAAGUCGAACGGAAAGGCCCUGCUUUUGUGGGGGGCUCGAGUGGCGAACGUGUGAGUAACACGUGAGUCACCUGCCCUUUACUUUGGGAUAACUUGAGGAAACUGGGGCUAAUACCGGAUAGGAGCGCCUGCUGCAUGGUGGGGGUUGGAAAGUUUCGGCGGUUGGGGAUGGAGUUGCGGCUUAUCAGCUGGUUGGUGGGCUAGUUGCUUACCAAGGCUUUGACGGGUAGCCGGCCUGAGAGGGGGACCGGCCACAUUGGGACUGAGAUACGGCCCAGACUACUACGGGAGGCAGCAGUGGGGAAUAUUGCACAAUGGGCGGAAGCCGGAUGCAGCAACGCCGCGUGCGGGAUGACGGCCUUCGGGUUGUAACCCGCUUUCGCCUGUGACGAAGCGUGAGUGACGGUAAUGGGUAAAGAAGCACCGGCUAACUACGUG